This is a non-coding RNA of Pelobates cultripes (western spadefoot toad), 220 nucleotides long. The record is from the annotation of a GenBank genome assembly. NCBI's taxonomy places the organism in Eukaryota, Metazoa, Chordata, Amphibia, Anura, Pelobatidae.
GCUUAUAUAUCAGCCAUGGCUGAUUGAAGUUUGUUGCAUUCAACUAUACCUGCUGGCAUGUGAAUAAUGCUCGUAUGAAAUCAUGUAAAGCCUGUUAUUAAAAAUUCAACCAGGUGUGUGGACAGAUGUUUGGACAGAAAUCUAGCUAGUGCACCAACAUUUACCAAGGUCAAAUAAGGUUUGGAAUGCAUUUUAUUAGGGCACAUGGAUUUCGCAUGUG